Molecule: long non-coding RNA, 1231 nt
Filed under: Panax ginseng (ginseng)
Lineage: Eukaryota; Viridiplantae; Streptophyta; Magnoliopsida; Apiales; Araliaceae
Description: long non-coding RNA (PGIN_LNC015613)
Source: RNAcentral
UAAUACACCGAAUAAACACUCUCCAGUAAUUCUUCUCUCUCUCAAACACCGGAACAAAUAUUCUUUCUCUCGUAAUUCCCUGCUUCGCUGCCGCUGGAUCAAGCUUCUUCCUGGAACAAGUGAGAUUCAAAAUCCGAAGGUUUCAAGGUAUCAUUUUCUCAUUUCGUAUUCUCCUCCUCCUGCCAUUACUCUCUCAUACGCCUAAAUUCCCAAAACCCUAAAAUUUAUGCAAACUCUUGUUUUGGAUGAACAAUCUAUGACUAAAUCAAGAAUUCUGCAAUGACUAGUGACUAGUUGUGCAAGUAAUUUGUAUCCAGACUUAAUUGGUAAAGAAAGCCCUAAAUUACUCUGUCUCAAAAAUUCUACACCUGAGCAGUAAAAUGGAAUUUCUAAAUUCCAUCGUCUCUAUUUGUCAACUGAAAUUCCUUCGGAAUAAUAGUAUACUUCAUUAUUUUGUCAAAUUGGUUUAGGAUUUGCAAGAACUGAUUUUAUUGUAGGUAAAUCUGGACUGAUUAACCAUGUCAUUUAAAAGCCCAUAGACUAGUAUAUCGCACAUUCCUUUUAUCUCUAAUUGGCAGAAUUUUGGAAUUUACUACUUCAUUUCCAAGUUUUUGUUUAUCUUGUGAAAGGAAAACAUAAAAUCAAACAACUAAUUAGUUUUUAAGAAAUAUAAAGAUAUUCCCUGCUACUGGAAGCUUCAGAUGGAGUGUUCCAAAAUAUUUCUCAUUAUUAGAAUCCAAUACACUUACAAUUUAAUUUGUUAAUGACUUUCCAGUCUAUUAUGGAGGGGGUUUCCCCAUUCAUUUUCAGGUAUAAUAUUUUAUUUUACUACUUUCUCUUUCAAUUUGUGGUGUCUUAUUGGAUGUAAUUUGUUUCUAAAAACCACCAUUUUAUUUUUCUUGUUGCAGGAUUACUAUAAUCCAUAUUGAAGAAGUGGUGAAGGAUGUGAUCCGAACAAUAGGAGCGGAUAAUAUGGUGGGAUUAUAUGUGGUGGAGGAUGCCAAGUGAUUAAUGUAUACCUGUUGUAAUUCUCUUGCGUAAUAACUAGAAUUUGAGUUUUGUUGAUGACUUGACUAUUUACUUGAUGAAUAACAUGGGGGGACGAUGCAUUGUUCUAUAAAUGUGUGAUACAUUUAUUUUAUUUGUAGUUUGUAAAAAUUGUUACAUGUUUGUUGAUGUUUAAACAGGCUGUGUAUGCACAAUUCAUUGGUCCAAGUCACACUAUUGUUUA